RNAcentral lists this ribosomal RNA (460 nucleotides) under uncultured bacterium. Its description in RNAcentral is "partial 16S ribosomal RNA". It matches the Rfam family "Bacterial small subunit ribosomal RNA", at positions 338 to 795 of the family's 1533-position model. The record is from RNAcentral.
CCUACGGGCGGCUGCAGUGAGGAAUAUUGGUCAAUGGACGGAAGUCUGAACCAGCCAUGCCGCGUGCAGGAAGACGGCUCUAUGAGUUGUAAACUGCUUUUGUACAAGGGUAAACCUGAAUACGUGUAUUCAGCUGAAAGUACUGUACGAAUAAGGAUCGGCUAACUCCGUGCCAGCAGCCGCGGUAAUACGGAGGAUCCAAGCGUUAUCCGGAUUUAUUGGGUUUAAAGGGUGCGUAGGCGGAUUGAUAAGUUAGAGGGGAAAUGUCCGAGCUUAACUCGGGAACUGCCUCUAAUACUGUUGAUCUAGAGAGUAGAUGCGGUAGGCGGAAUGUAUUGUGUAGCGGUGAAAUGCUUAGAGAUCAUACAGAACACCGAUUGCGAAGGCAGCUUACCAAUCUAUAUCUGACGUUGAGGCACGAAAGCGUGGGGAGCAAACAGGAUUAGAUACCCGAGUAGUC